UACGGAGGGAGCUAGCGUUGUUCGGAAUUACUGGGCGUAGAGCGCACGUAGACGGCUUUGUAAGUUAGAGGUGAGAGCCCGGAGCUCAACUCCGGAAUUGCCUUUAAGACUGCAUCGCUAGAAUCAUGGAGAGGUUAGUGGAAUUCCGAGUGUAGAGGUGAAAUUCGUAGAUAUUCGGAAGAACACCAGUGGCGAAGGCGACUAACUGGACAUGUAUUGACGCUGAGGUGCGAAAGCGUGGGGAGCAAACAGG
This 253-nucleotide ribosomal RNA is filed under the name uncultured bacterium. RNAcentral's name for it is "partial 16S ribosomal RNA". It matches the Rfam family "Bacterial small subunit ribosomal RNA", at positions 524 to 776 of the family's 1533-position model. The record is from RNAcentral.